CAACAAGGGAAAACGUUUACGAACUUUCGCAAACACUAAAUAAAAUAUUUGUAAAAAACUCUGUUGCCAACAUUAGCUAACAGUUUGAAAAGGUUGUGUGUGGCAAAUGAACAUUUUGAAGAUGGAGUACAGUGGAAGCGCUAAUGGAUUUAAAUGGACCUACUCAUCUGUAAUGCUGCUAUCGAUACAUGGAGACAAAUUUGAGAGCCCUGUGUUCAAAAAGAGAGAGGCCUGGGAAAUUGUAGCUCAAAUGGUGCAAGAGAAAAGUUAUACUGUGACCUGGGAGACAUGCGAUGCGAAGUGGAGGAGUCUGAAGCACAGGUACAAGGCCAUCAUUGAUGGUCAUCAGAAGACUGGGCAGGGGAGAAGGAAGUGGGAGUUCUACUCCAUCAUGGAGGAGGUCGUCUCUGGUUAUCCCAGCAGUCAUUAAAUCAUAUUUUCCCACACACACAAAACUCAUACUGUCACCCACAACACCCCCAUCCCACACCAACCCCAACAUCAGUACACACACAACAUACAGCACACAAUACUAAUUACACUGUCACUCAACCCAGCACCUCCGCAGACACCCCACACACAGCACGCUACAGUAACACUGAUGCACUCUCAUCCUCUCCCUCUGCUACAGCACCUUAUAACUCUCAUGCCAACACCACUCCCCAUUCUCAACCCAAAAAGAAGACCAAAGGAGAUGCUCGAGGCAAAACUGGACAAUAUCAUCACACUUCAGAAACAGACAGUUCAAGCACAGAAUGAGAAGAACAAUAUUCUUAAACAGUUUACCGCUGCAAUCCAGAAUUUCAAAGAACAG
Molecule: long non-coding RNA, 814 nt
Filed under: Salmo salar (Atlantic salmon)
Lineage: Eukaryota; Metazoa; Chordata; Actinopteri; Salmoniformes; Salmonidae
Description: lncRNA (ENSSSAG00000083814.1)
Source: RNAcentral